Molecule: ribosomal RNA, 287 nt
Filed under: Micrococcus luteus
Lineage: Bacteria; Bacillati; Actinomycetota; Actinomycetes; Micrococcales; Micrococcaceae
Description: partial 16S ribosomal RNA
Rfam family: Bacterial small subunit ribosomal RNA
Source: RNAcentral
UUAAAUUGAAGAGUUUGAUCAUGGCUCAGAUUGAACGCUGGCGGCAGGCCUAACACAUGCAAGUCGAACGGCAGCACAGAAGAGCUUUGCUCUUUUGGGGUGGCGAGUGGCGGACGGGGUGAGUAAUGUCUGGGGAAACUGCCCCGAUGGAGGGGGGAUAACUACUGGAAACGGUAGCUAAUACCGCAUAACGUCGCAAGACCAAAAGUGGGGGGACCUUCGGGGCCUCACACCAUCGGGAUGUGCCGAUGGGAUUAGCUAGUAGGUGGGGGUAAUGGCUCACCUAG